CUACGGGCUGCUGCAGUGGGGAAUAUUGGACAAUGGAGGAAACUCUGAUCCAGCCAUGCCGCGUGAGUGAAGAAGGCCCUAGGGUUGUAAAACUCUUUCAGUAAGGAAGAUAAUGACGGUACUUACAGAAGAAGCCCCGGCUAACUCCGUGCCAGCAGCCGCGGUAAUACGGAGGGGGCUAGCGUUGUUCGGAAUCACUGGGCGUAAAGCGCGCGUAGGCGGUUUGAAAAGUCAGAUGUGAAAGCCCAGGGCUCAACCCUGGAACUGCAUUUGAAACUAUCAGACUAGAAUUCGGUAGAGGAUAGUGGAAUUCCUAGUGUAACAGUGAAAUGUAUAGAUAUUAGGAGGAACACCAGUGGCGAAGGCGACUAUCUGGGCCGAUAUUGACGCUAAUGUGCGAAAGCGUGGGGAGCAAACAGGAUUAGAUACCCGCGUAGUC
Molecule: ribosomal RNA, 439 nt
Filed under: uncultured bacterium
Lineage: Bacteria
Description: partial 16S ribosomal RNA
Rfam family: Bacterial small subunit ribosomal RNA
Source: RNAcentral